RNAcentral lists this transfer RNA (75 nucleotides) under Candidatus Omnitrophota bacterium. RNAcentral's name for it is "tRNA-Gly". It matches the Rfam family "tRNA". Rfam says of the family: Transfer RNA (tRNA) molecules are approximately 80 nucleotides in length. Their secondary structure includes four short double-helical elements and three loops (D, anti-codon, and T loops). The record is from RNAcentral. Lineage: Bacteria; Pseudomonadati; Candidatus Omnitrophota.
GCGGCGGUAAUUCAGUGGUAGAAUGUCUGCUUGCCAAGCAGAAUGUCGUGGGUUCAAGUCCCAUCCGCCGCUCCA